GAUGAACGCUGGCGGCGUGCCUAAUACAUGCAAGUCGAGCGAACGGACGAGAAGCUUGCGUCUCUGAUGUUAGCGGCGGACGGGUGAGUAACACGUGGAUAACCUACCUAUAAGACUGGGAUAAUUUCGGGAAACCGGAGCUAAUACCGGAUAAUACUUUGAACGGCAUGGUUCAAAAGUGAAAGACGGCCUUGCUGUCACUUAUAGAUGGAUCCGCGCUGCAUUAGCUAGUUGGUAAGGUAACGGCUUACCAAGGCAACGAUGCAUAGCCGACCUGAGAGGGUGAUCGGCCACACUGGAACUGAGACACGGUCCAGACUCCUACGGGAGGCAGCAGUAGGGAAUCUUCCGCAAUGGGCGAAAGCCUGACGGAGCAACGCCGCGUGAGUGAUGAAGGUCUUCGGAUCGUAAAACUCUGUUAUUAGGGAAGAACAUAUGUGUAAGUAACUGUGCACAUCUUGACGGUACCUAAUCAGAAAGCCACGGCUAACUACGUG
Molecule: ribosomal RNA, 497 nt
Filed under: uncultured bacterium
Lineage: Bacteria
Description: partial 16S ribosomal RNA
Rfam family: Bacterial small subunit ribosomal RNA
Source: RNAcentral